AGAGUACGCGCCGUUAUAGGUUGCUGGCGUGAUGUCAGCAAUAAUAGGGAAGUCAGUGCAACUCUGACGCUGCCCCCGCAACGGUAAAAAAGUCAAACUUUGCCAACAAGCCACUGUGGUUCACCAUGGGAAGGCGGCAAAGCCUGCAUUUGCAACUUUUGAGUCCGGAGACCUGCCUGUAACUGGGGGUUCUG
RNAcentral lists this non-coding RNA (194 nucleotides) under Marinomonas spartinae. The record is from RNAcentral. Lineage: Bacteria; Pseudomonadati; Pseudomonadota; Gammaproteobacteria; Oceanospirillales; Oceanospirillaceae.